UACGAAGGGGGCUAGCGUUGCUCGGAAUCACUGGGCGUAAAGCGCGUGUAGGCGGUUGCCCAAGUCGGGUGUGAAAGCCUUGAGCUCAACUCAAGAAAUGCACUCGGUACUGGGUGACUAGAGGACCGGAGAGGAUAGUGGAAUUCCCAGUGUAGUGGUGAAAUACGUAGAGAUUGGGAAGAACACCAGUGGCGAAGGCGGCUAUCUGGACGGUUUCUGACGCUAAGACGCGAAAGCGUGGGGAGCAAACAGG
This 253-nucleotide ribosomal RNA is filed under the name uncultured bacterium. RNAcentral describes it as "partial 16S ribosomal RNA". It matches the Rfam family "Bacterial small subunit ribosomal RNA", at positions 524 to 776 of the family's 1533-position model. The record is from RNAcentral.